RNAcentral lists this ribosomal RNA (704 nucleotides) under Mycobacterium simiae. RNAcentral's name for it is "bacterial SSU rRNA". It matches the Rfam family "Bacterial small subunit ribosomal RNA", at positions 54 to 776 of the family's 1533-position model. The record is from RNAcentral. Lineage: Bacteria; Bacillati; Actinomycetota; Actinomycetes; Mycobacteriales; Mycobacteriaceae.
GAUGCAUUCGACGGAAGGCCCCUUCGGGGGUACUCGAGUGGCGAACGGGUGAGUAACACGUGGGUAAUCUGCCCUGCACUUCGGGAUAAGCCUGGGAAACUGGGUCUAAUACCGGAUAGGACCACUUGGCGCAUGCCUUGUGGUGGAAAGCUUUUGCGGUGUGGGAUGGGCCCGCGGCCUAUCAGCUUGUUGGUGGGGUGACGGCCUACCAAGGCGACGACGGGUAGCCGGCCUGAGAGGGUGUCCGGCCACACUGGGACUGAGAUACGGCCCAGACUCCUACGGGAGGCAGCAGUGGGGAAUAUUGCACAAUGGGCGCAAGCCUGAUGCAGCGACGCCGCGUGGGGGAUGACGGCCUUCGGGUUGUAAACCUCUUUCAGCAGGGACGAAGCGCAAGUGACGGUACCUGCAGAAGAAGCACCGGCCAACUACGUGCCAGCAGCCGCGGUAAUACGUAGGGUGCGAGCGUUGUCCGGAAUUACUGGGCGUAAAGAGCUCGUAGGUGGUUUGUCGCGUUGUUCGUGAAAACCGGGGGCUUAACCCUCGGCGUGCGGGCGAUACGGGCAGACUGGAGUACUGCAGGGGAGACUGGAAUUCCUGGUGUAGCGGUGGAAUGCGCAGAUAUCAGGAGGAACACCGGUGGCGAAGGCGGGUCUCUGGGCAGUAACUGACGCUGAGGAGCGAAAGCGUGGGGAGCGAACAGG